Molecule: long non-coding RNA, 453 nt
Organism: Prunus dulcis (almond)
Lineage: Eukaryota; Viridiplantae; Streptophyta; Magnoliopsida; Rosales; Rosaceae
Exons: 3
Source: RefSeq, a predicted model, not a curated record
AAUGUGUAAUUAGGGACCAUAUGAUUCUUAAUAAGAAAGGAGAGGAUUCUGGGGUAAAUCCCUCAGUUACGGACACAACAGACUUGUCAAACGCAACGCGCAAAGAAGCUCGUAGAGCCUGUAAUUCUAUUUUUUAUCGUCCUUUGGUAAAUACAAGAAAUUAAUGCUUUUGUAGAAUUUGUUACCCGUAUUAACAAGAGAGAUAAAAUUAUACUACGGAUUCAAAACCAAAAGAUAUGGAGGAUUGCAUUCUCACUUUAUGGUGUCAUAUGGCCCGAAGAUGAGCCUUAUGCAGAUGAAGCAAUUGAACUGCUGAGGACAACCAUAUCUCAGAGAUGGGUGGAGGUUGAACUGCAGACUAUUGAUGAAGAUGGAUAUUUUGUGGGAUAUUUAUCGGAGUCAAAUACCAUGUGCUAACUCCCGUCCUUGAAGCCGGCCUUGCAGAACUUGAAG